RNAcentral lists this ribosomal RNA (924 nucleotides) under uncultured bacterium. RNAcentral describes it as "bacterial SSU rRNA". It matches the Rfam family "Bacterial small subunit ribosomal RNA", at positions 62 to 949 of the family's 1533-position model. The record is from RNAcentral.
UCGAACGAGUUCUCGUUGAUGAUCGGUGCUUGCACCGAGAUUCAACAUGGAACGAGUGGCGGACGGGUGAGUAACACGUGGGUAACCUGCCCUUAAGUGGGGGAUAACAUUUGGAAACAGAUGCUAAUACCGCAUAGAUCCAAGAACCGCAUGGUUCUUGGCUGAAAGAUGGCGUAAGCUAUCGCUUUUGGAUGGACCCGCGGCGUAUUAGCUAGUUGGUGAGGUAAUGGCUCACCAAGGCGAUGAUACGUAGCCGAACUGAGAGGUUGAUCGGCCACAUUGGGACUGAGACACGGCCCAAACUCCUACGGGAGGCAGCAGUAGGGAAUCUUCCACAAUGGACGCAAGUCUGAUGGAGCAACGCCGCGUGAGUGAAGAAGGCUUUCGGGUCGUAAAACUCUGUUGUUGGAGAAGAAUGGUCGGCAGAGUAACUGUUGCCGGCGUGACGGUAUCCAACCAGAAAGCCACGGCUAACUACGUGCCAGCAGCCGCGGUAAUACGUAGGUGGCAAGCGUUAUCCGGAUUUAUUGGGCGUAAAGCGAGCGCAGGCGGUUUUUUAAGUCUGAUGUGAAAGCCCUCGGCUUAACCGAGGAAGCGCAUCGGAAACUGGGAAACUUGAGUGCAGAAGAGGACAGUGGAACUCCAUGUGUAGCGGUGAAAUGCGUAGAUAUAUGGAAGAACACCAGUGGCGAAGGCGGCUGUCUGGUCUGUAACUGACGCUGAGGCUCGAAAGCAUGGGUAGCGAACAGGAUUAGAUACCCUGGUAGUCCAUGCCGUAAACGAUGAAUGCUAGGUGUUGGAGGGUUUCCGCCCUUCAGUGCCGCAGCUAACGCAUUAAGCAUUCCGCCUGGGGAGUACGACCGCAAGGUUGAAACUCAAAGGAAUUGACGGGGGCCCGCACAAGCGGUGGAGCAUGUGGUUUAA